This 253-nucleotide ribosomal RNA is filed under the name uncultured bacterium. RNAcentral describes it as "partial 16S ribosomal RNA". It matches the Rfam family "Bacterial small subunit ribosomal RNA", at positions 524 to 776 of the family's 1533-position model. The record is from RNAcentral.
UACGGAGGGUGCAAGCGUUGUCCGGAUUUAUUGGGUUUAAAGGGUGCGUAGGCGGCCCGUUAAGUCAGUGGUGAAAUCCCAGGGCUCAACCCUGGAACUGCCAUUGAUACUGACGGGCUUGAGUUCGGUUAAGGCGGGCGGAACUGGUGGUGUAGCGGUGAAAUGCAUAGAUACCACCAAGAACCCCGAUUGCGUAGGCAGCUCGCUGGGCCGAAACUGACGCUGAGGCACGAAAGCGUGGGGAGCGAACAGG